UGAACUUAAGCAUAUCAAUAAGCGGAGGAAAAGAAACUAACAAGGAUUCCCCUAGUAACUGCGAGUGAAGCGGGAAAAGCUCAAAUUUAAAAUCUGGCAGUUUCACUGUUCCGAGUUGUAAUCUGGAGAAGCUUUUUCCGCGUCGGACCGUGUACAAGUUUCUUGGAAUAGAACGUCAUAGAGGGUGAGAAUCCCGUCCAUGACACGGACUACCCAUGCUUUGUGAUAUGCUCUCCAAGAGUCGAGUUGUUUGGGAAUGCAGCUCAAAAUGGGUGGUAAAUUCCAUCUAAAGCUAAAUAUUGGCGAGAGACCGAUAGCGAACAAGUACCGUGAGGGAAAGAUGAAAAGCACUUUGGAAAGAGAGUUAAACAGUACGUGAAAUUGUUGAAUGGGAAACGCUUGAAGUCAGUCGCGUUGGCNGAGAUUCACCCKUGCUUUGCANGGUGUACUUCUCAGUUAACGGGUCAACUUCAAUUUCANUUGGUGGAUAAAGGCAUUGGGAAUGUGGCACCUUCGGGUGUGUUAUAGACCUUUGUU
RNAcentral lists this ribosomal RNA (537 nucleotides) under Mycena mimicoseta. RNAcentral's name for it is "LSU rRNA". It matches the Rfam family "Eukaryotic large subunit ribosomal RNA", at positions 29 to 568 of the family's 3401-position model. The record is from RNAcentral. Lineage: Eukaryota; Fungi; Basidiomycota; Agaricomycetes; Agaricales; Mycenaceae.